This 2885-nucleotide ribosomal RNA is filed under the name Lachnospiraceae bacterium. Its description in RNAcentral is "23S ribosomal RNA". It matches the Rfam family "Bacterial large subunit ribosomal RNA". Lineage: Bacteria; Bacillati; Bacillota; Clostridia; Lachnospirales; Lachnospiraceae. The record is from RNAcentral.
UUAAGCAAAAAAGAGCACAGGGCGGAUGCCCUGGCACUGGGAGCCGAUGAAAGACGCGACAAGCUGCGAAAAGCUGCGGGGAGCGGCAGAUACGCUAAGAUCCGCAGGUGUCUGAAUGGGGAAACCCACGCAGGGAAAGCCUGCGUAUCCGUACCUGAAUCCAUAGGGUGCGGAGGGGAACCCGGCGAACUGAAACAUCUAAGUAGCCGGAGGAAAAGAAAACAAAAGUGAUUUCCAGAGUAGCGGCGAGCGGAAUGGAAAGAGCCCAAACCGGAGUGCGAGCACACCGGGGUUAGGACUGCAGAAAUGACCUGCAACUGCAGCGGAACGGUCCUGGAAAGACCGGCCGUAGAGGGUGAGAGCCCCGUAAGCGAAGCGGGAGCAGGCAUGGCAGGAUCCAGAGUACUGCGAGACACGAGAAACCUUGCAGGAAUGAGCGGGGACCACCCCGUAAGGCUAAAUACUACCCAGUGACCGAUAGAGCAGAGUACUGUGAAGGAAAGGUGAAAAGGACCCCGGGAGGGGAGUGAAAGAGAACCUGAAACCCUGUGUUUACAAGCUGUGGAAGCACCGCAAGAGUGCGACCGCGUACUUUUUGUAGAACGGUCCGGCGAGCUGCGGGGGCCGGCGAGGUUAAGCCACCAGGUGACGGAGCCGUAGUGAAAGCGAGCGUAAAUAGCGCGCCAUAGUCGGUUCCCGCAAGCCCGAAACCGGGUGAUCUAUCCAUGUCCAGGCUGAAGCCGCUGUAAAAGGCGGUGGAGGGCCGCACCCACAUCCGUUGAAAAGGGUGGGGAUGAGGUGUGGAUAGGGGAGAAAUUCCAAUCGAACCCGGAGAUAGCUGGUUCUCCCCGAAACAGCUUUAGGGCUGGCCCCGUAUAUGCCUUGUGGAGGUAGAGCACUGAAUUUCCUAGGGGGCGUCAAAGCCUACCGAAGAAUAUCAAACUCCGAAUGCCAUGAAGGAAGAGUACGGGAGUCAGACCGCACGAGAUAAGUCGGGCGGUCAAAAGGGAAAGAGCCCAGACCCGCGGCUAAGGCCCCAGAGUGCGUGUUAAGUGGAAAAGGAUGUGGGAUUUCAAAGACAGCUAGGAUGUUGGCUCAGAAGCAGCCACACAUUCAAAGAGUGCGUAAUAGCUCACUAGCCGAGAGGUCCUGCGCCGAAAAUGUCCGGGGCUGAAACACGCCGCCGAAGCCCGGGAAUGUACAAUAAUGUACAUUGGUAGGGGAGCAUUGCCGGCGCACGGAAGCCGUACCGUAAGGGGCGGUGGAGCGCCGGGAAGAGAGAAUGCCGGAAUGAGUAGCGAGAUGGAGGUGGGAAUCCUCCAGGCCGAAUAUCCAAGGAUUCCGGGGUAAAGCUGAUCUGCCCCGGGUAAGUCGGGACCUAAGGCGAGGCCGGAAGGCGUAGCCGAUGGACAACAGGUGGAGAUUCCUGUACUGCGCCAUGACAGAACUGUGGGGACGCAUGUGGAAAGAGGCAGCCGGGAAAGGGAAGACCGGUACAAGCGCAGGAGGAGGCGUGCAGGAAAAGCCGCACGCCGAUCCAAUGGCGUGACGUGGAGCGGAAAGAAGUAGCGAAGGCCGCGGACCAUGUGCCAGGAAAAGCCGCUAUCGUUCAUGGGGCACCCGUACCGUAAACCGACACAGGUGGAUGGGGAGAGGAUCCCAAGGCCGGCGGGAGAAGCAUUGCCAAGGAACUCGGCAAAAUGGCCCCGUAACUUCGGGAGAAGGGGCGCCUGCGUGAAAGCAGGCCGCAGAGAAAAGGCUCAAGCAACUGUUUAGCAAAAACACAGGUCUAUGCAAAACCGGAAGGUGAAGUAUAUGGGCUGACGCCUGCCCGGUGCUGGAAGGUUAAGAGGAGGGGUCAGGAAACGAAGCCCUGAAUCCAAGCCCCAGUAAACGGCGGCCGUAACUAUAACGGUCCUAAGGUAGCGAAAUUCCUUGUCGGGUAAGUUCCGACCCGCACGAAAGGCGUAAUGAUUUGAGCACUGUCUCGGCAAUGCACCCGGUGAAAUUGAAGUGCCAGUGAAGAUGCUGGCUACCCGCGCCAGGACGGAAAGACCCCAUGGAGCUUUACUCCAGCUUGAUACUGGGAUCCGGUGCUGUAUGUACAGGAUAGGUGGGAGGCAAGGAAGUGAGGACGCCAGUCCUCAUGGAGCCGCCGUUGGGAUACCACCCCUGCAGUACUGGGUUUCUAACCUGCGCCAGUGAACCUGGCGGGGGACAAUGUCUGGCGGGGAGUUUGACUGGGGCGGUCGCCUCCGAAAGGGUAUCGGAGGCGCUCAAAGGUCCCCUCAGAAUGGACGGAAACCAUUCGAAGAGUGCAAAGGCAUAAGGGGGCCUGACUGCGACACCGACGGGUGGGGCAGGCGGGAAACCGGGACUUAGUGAUCCGGUGGUAUUAAGUGGGAAUGCCAUCGCUCAACGGAUAAAAGCUACCCUGGGGAUAACAGGCUGAUCACUCCCAAGAGUUCACAUCGACGGAGUGGUUUGGCACCUCGAUGUCGGCUCAUCGCAUCCUGGGGCUGAAGCAGGUCCCAAGGGUUGGGCUGUUCGCCCAUUAAAGCGGUACGCGAGCUGGGUUCAGAACGUCGUGAGACAGUUCGGUCCCUAUCCGGCGCGGGCGUAGGAUAUCUGAGAGGAGCGGUCCCUAGUACGAGAGGACCGGGACGGACGGGCCGCUGGUGUACCUGUUGGAAACCAGUUCCACGGCAGGGUAGCCAAGCCCGGAGGGGAUAAACGCUGAAGGCAUCUAAGCGUGAAGCCCCCCUCAAGAUGAGAUAUCCGUGUCGCAGGACGGAAGGUCCCUUGAAGACCACGAGGUAGAUAGGCCUGGGGUGUAAGCACAGCAAUGUGUUCAGCUGACAGGUACUAAUAGACCGUAAGCUUAA